UACGUAGGCAGCGAGCGUUGUUCGGAGUUACUGGGCGUAAAGGGUGUGUAGGCGGUUCUCUAAGUUUGGUGUGAAAUCUCCCGGCUCAACCGGGAGGGUGCGCCGAAAACUGGAGGGCUAGAGUGCGGGAAGGGAGAGUAGAAUUCCUGGUGUAGCGGUGAAAUGCGUAGAUAUCAGGAGGAAUACCGGUGGUGCAGACGGCUCUCUGGACCGCGACUGACGCUGAGACACGAAGGCCAGGGGAGCAAACGGG
Molecule: ribosomal RNA, 253 nt
Filed under: uncultured prokaryote
Description: partial 16S ribosomal RNA
Rfam family: Bacterial small subunit ribosomal RNA
Source: RNAcentral